Molecule: ribosomal RNA, 253 nt
Filed under: uncultured bacterium
Lineage: Bacteria
Description: partial 16S ribosomal RNA
Rfam family: Bacterial small subunit ribosomal RNA
Source: RNAcentral
UACGUAGGGUGCGAGCGUUAAUCGGAAUUACUGGGCGUAAAGCGUGCGCAGGCGGUUCGCCAAGUCAGGUGUGAAAUCCCCGGGCUCAACCUGGGAACUGCAUUUGUGACUGCAUCGCUGGAGUGCGGCAGAGGGGGAUGGAAUUCCGCGUGUAGCAGUGAAAUGCGUAGAUAUGCGGAGGAACACCGAUGGCGAAGGCAAUCCCCUGGGCCUGCACUGACGCUCAUGCACGAAAGCGUGGGGAGCAAAAGGG